GUACAAUGGACAAGACUUGGCUUGACUCUGGAUAUGGGGGUAAUGGUGGCCCCCAGUGUCAUGGGGCUAUUCACUGAGACGGGAUUACAGAAGGGAAACAGACUGGGGAGAGAGAUAAGGAGAGCUUUCCUAGGUGCUGGGAAUGACAUGGGAGAAAGAUAACUGACCAGAUUCCCGGCUGCAUGGAAUUUAGAAUCUAGUUGUGGGGACAGGCAUACAGCAAAAAUAUGUAUAAGCCCCAUGGAAGUCAUCAACGAGUUUUUCGAAAGGAGGGAGGGGAGGCUCCAAUAACUGCUCAGGUGAGAAAUUCUUGCACUAGAGUGAUGGCAGGGGAGGUAGAGAGUAGGAGAGAUUUGAGAAGCUGUGGAGACAAUAAGCCUUGGUGAUUAACUGGGGUUAAGGAGAGGAGGGAGAAGGAAGAAAGCAGUGGGACUCCCAUCCGAGCUGCUGGGGAGGGGUUGCUGUUCACUGAGAGAGGGUCCAGGUGGGAGCAGGUAGUAUGAGGUGGUGUGACCUCCAAGGGAGGGACCAAAGAGCUGGCUGAAGAUAUGGGUCUGGCGUGGGGACCAGGUGUCAGGGCCAUAGGUGUAAUCUGGGUGUAAAUCUGGGAAACGUUAGGUGACUAAAGAUGUUUAAAGUCUUGGGCAUGAGUUGAGAGAAACUUUAGAGUGAUUGGGGAAGAAGGACCAGGACUCCCCCUGGAGACCCCAGGCUUGGAGAAUAGAUGGAGCGGGACCUAUGGUAAAAGGGCUGAGUGGUAGUUGAAACAGUGAGUCGGGCAGGGUUGGGGGUGGUAAGAUUAUUUUAGUAUGAGGGCUUGGGGGUUGGCCCCAAAGAAAAGGAUAGAAUGCCUCCAAAUAUUUGAUGACUGACCACAUGUUAGAGUGUAGACCUAUUUUGUCUACACUUGCAAUAUGGUCUUUGGCUUCACAUUGCUCAAAUCCAGAGUUGGGCAGAAAUGCGGAAAGGAUCUAGAAAGUUCCAUUCAAGGAUCCACCUUUAGAUGGACACUUGGAGGAGAUGAUCUUCCAACUCCGAAUUCCAUCACUCUAGUUAUGUCUGAAAAAGGGGGGGAAAAAGAAUUGCUUUAUUGCAACAUUAACUUUUUAACAAAAACGCUGGUAACUAGAUCCAGCCAUCGAACGUGUAUCUAUUGAACU
Lutra lutra (Eurasian river otter) is the source of this 1160-nucleotide long non-coding RNA. RefSeq lists it as uncharacterized. The record is from RefSeq and is a predicted model, not a curated record. Lineage: Eukaryota; Metazoa; Chordata; Mammalia; Carnivora; Mustelidae. The transcript has 3 exons.